AAUCCUGGUAAAAUGCAGUAAAGGAUUUAAGGUUAUCGUCUGUCUCUCUCUAACUUCUGACAUCUCUUUAUAACAAGAAAGAGUCACAGCCAACUGUAACAGGAGGGCAACACAAUGAAUCCUGGAGGAAUAUAUACAUGCGGCAGCAGCACUCAGGACAUGAAGAGCUACUUUGAAAGUUGAUGCAUUUCCCAGUGUCUGAGAUGAAGAUGGAAAGUAGAGAAUGAGAAAAUUUGCUGUCCCUGCAGAGUAACUGCUUGCACAAGAUUCAGUUAUGUGCAUCAGCAGAGCAGAAAGGAACAGCAUACAUCCUGCAGAGCUGGAAAAUGCCUUCGUUGACUUUUCAGUAUCCACAGCUUUGACAUGGAGAGGUGCACAUCCAGUGGCCAGAUGUAACUGCAGUCAGCUGUGGCCACUCCAAGCUGGAAAUGAGUGUCUGAGCAUCCUGAUCACUAAUCCUUCCACUGCAGUGCCUGUGUUCUGGCUGCUCUCUUGGGUGUUUUAUGAGAACAUGGAGCUGCAUGUCACAGUACCAUUUUUCUGUGGGUUAAAGGAGACUGUUCUAACACUCCCAGCUUCUGCUGCCCAGGUACCUUCUGCUGAAGAAAUUCUUUGUUACCUUGGACAGUCAGUCACACAGUGCUGGUUGGAUUAUGUGCCUCCUGUUACAUCCACAAGUAUAUGGGAAUAAAGCAAGGAAAGGAGAAUAACAAAGCUUUAGUGGUUUGCUGUCCCUGACGAUGUACUAAAUUGGCAGAAACUGUAAAAGCCUGAGUUAUUUUCCUCAGCAGUCCAGCAUUCAGGGAGACCCAGAGCAUAGGGACAGUUGCUGCCACUGCACGCCAUUCCCCC
This 852-nucleotide long non-coding RNA is filed under the name Cyanistes caeruleus (blue tit). RNAcentral describes it as "lncRNA (ENSCCEG00000005086.1)". Lineage: Eukaryota; Metazoa; Chordata; Aves; Passeriformes; Paridae. The record is from RNAcentral.